UCUGAUGGAGUGGAAUGGCUCUCUAUCCCAUCGAUCUAGGAGAAGCUCGGAUGUUUUCGAGGCUGCUGACGAGUCUACUGUUGUCAGACGUCUCAAGCGCUGAUGCUACAGGCGGGAGUCAUCUGCUGUAGAAGCUCGGAUGGAGACUUUCUAUUGGUGAAGUCUGGUAGGAGUCCGAUUGCUAGAGAAGUCCAUCUGGGAUUCGCCUGAU
Molecule: long non-coding RNA, 211 nt
Filed under: Elaeis guineensis (African oil palm)
Lineage: Eukaryota; Viridiplantae; Streptophyta; Magnoliopsida; Arecales; Arecaceae
Description: long non-coding RNA (EGUI_LNC076962)
Source: RNAcentral